UACGUAGGGGGCAAGCGUUGUCCGGAAUCAUUGGGCGUAAAGAGCGUGUAGGCGGUUCGGUAAGUCGGCUGUGAAAGUCCAGGGCUCAACCCUGGGAUGCCGGUCGAUACUGCCGGACUAGAGUUCGGAAGAGGCGAGUGGAAUUCCUGGUGUAGCGGUGAAAUGCGCAGAUAUCAGGAGGAACACCAAUGGCGAAGGCAGCUCGCUGGGACGUGACUGACGCUGAGACGCGAAAGCGUGGGGAGCGAACAGG
This 253-nucleotide ribosomal RNA is filed under the name uncultured bacterium. Its description in RNAcentral is "partial 16S ribosomal RNA". It matches the Rfam family "Bacterial small subunit ribosomal RNA", at positions 524 to 776 of the family's 1533-position model. The record is from RNAcentral.